Molecule: long non-coding RNA, 2326 nt
Filed under: Capsicum annuum
Lineage: Eukaryota; Viridiplantae; Streptophyta; Magnoliopsida; Solanales; Solanaceae
Description: long non-coding RNA (CANN_LNC005129)
Source: RNAcentral
GUGUGAUGACACCAAGAGGUAUUGCAAUCGUAAUACCUGCUCUUGUAUCCUGUAUGCAAUAGCAACACCUGAAUACCUGAAGGGGCUACAAAUAUGGACACUAGGUCGCAAAAUUGCCUAUUUCCACCCACUCUCUUGAAAGCAAAAGCAAGUAUGAUAACUCAAAAUUGAGACUUGUAGGUAAUUUGGAAGCUUGAUUAACAUCUAUUAUCGCAAAUGUCUUCGAAUUUAAGGUAAGAUUUCAUCCCUUUCUUAGUGAAAUUCUUGGUUCUUGACCCAAAACCCUAAAUAGCAUGAGGGCUUGAUUUUAGCCCCAAAUUAGCUUGGUUUUCACCCAUUUCUUAGGGUUAUGAUUCCCUGAUCAUGUAUGAACAUUGGGUUGACCUUAGAAACAUGAUUUUUGUAAGUUGAACCCACUUGGGGUUUUUUAUGUCAUUUUUGGACCUGAAGAACAAUGGUGUAAUAUUAGUAUCAUUAUUCUCGAAUUGAUGAGUAGAUUAAAAUUUUGAUAGUGUGGAUAAGGUCCUGAGCGGGUCGGGUCGGGUCGGGUCACUUUACAUCUACCUCUUCUACUUUUAUUUUGACAUAUUACGUACAAAGCAAUAUCUUACAACAUCUAAUUUUGCACGUUAUUGUCAUUCCUUUCCUCUUUAUCCUCUAUUUGCACAUCAUUGCUUGCUUCCUUGUCUAUCACAUUUUUAUCAAGAAAAUCAUCUUGAAUUUUAUGAGUUACAAUGUCAUGCGUUAUCUGAUUUGGAGAAGGCAUGCGAUAUAUAAUUGGAUGACAGUCUACAUUAGCUAUAAUUGUCAGUGGCUACUAUAUUGUUGAACUAAAAGCUCUUGAUUCUCCAAGGUACUGCUUAUAUCUACUAAAUUAUGCAUAUCUCCUCUGUCCAGGUCACGUUUAUUCAAUUGCUCAUCUCCCUUGUGAACCACUUCAAUAAUAGGCUUAAUAUCUAUGUCUACAGUGAGGGACUUAUUAGAGAUAUCUGUUUUCUCUAACACUUGUUCUUGUUUAUCCAUGAUAGUGUUGACUCUACUAGAGAUGAGGAAUCAUUUUUCCACUCAACCUCUAGUAUCUUCCUCUUUAUCUUGACUUUGAGACACUAGAUCUAUCAUAAAAUCCUCAUUAAUAUGCACUAGUCCCAGAGUCUGCACUAUUGUUACUCUCCAUCAUCACUUCCUGGUUGUCUUCUUUUUUAUGCUUUAUUUCCUUCUGCACCUUUUCUGGGUUUAUCAUCAUCUAAGAUCCACCUUGUGGUAUUGAUUCACUAUUAAUGCCUGACCUUUCCUUAACCUAUUCUCUACCUCCUCCUCAGUGAUGGAAUCCAAGGUUGCAUAUUGAUUAAGUGAACAAAUAGUUGGUCUUUUGUUGUUGCCCUUCAACUAUGAGUUCUGAUUAUUAAACAUGGCCUUCCCUUUCUUAGUUGUUAUUGCAUUCGAAACCUCGGGAUUACCCAGGAUCUUUCCACUUGUUAGCUUUCUUGGAAAGGAUCCAGUAGGUUGGGUCAGUUGUGUAUUGCAUCAUUUCUCUUAAUUUGCUUUUUUGGUUAUACCUUUUUUAUUUUCUCAUCUCCAUCAUUCUUUCUUCUAUCUUCAAAUUCCUUGUGUAAUGUUGGUUCCUGGUUGUUCUUUUCUUGUCUCUUUGUUAAUUUAGGUUGCAUUACCUAAUAUUCAUAUAUAUUGUGGCCUUGUAACUUACAUUUUCUGCAAUAUUUAGGCAAAUAAUCACAUUGAAUGUCAACUUUCACAGUCCUUAUAGUUUUAUUGAUUCAUCCUCAAUAUUCAUCCUCACAUGGUCAGGUAGAAUAGACAUUAAAUCGACUAGAACCUUAUCUUUAGCACAGCUAGGUCUAGUUUUAUUAAUUAUGGCCAUAUCUAAAUGCAUAAGGGUGCAUACCGAGGAUGCUAAAGAAACUAACACCUCCUCGACAAAAUAGAUUGGGAGUAAGUUGGGGAAAGAGACUCAUGUCAUUGUCAUAGUAUUUUCCUCCUCCACAGUGAAAUUAGAGUUAUAAAUUAGUAGUCUCAUUUGAUUAGAAGCACCAUCUUUUGAUUUGAUGUAGAGAGUUGUCGCCAGAGUUGGAUUAAUGAAAUCUUCUCUCAAAGAAAGCCUAAUUAGAAUCCUUCUAUUUCUAAACUAACCAGUCUAACAAUCGCCUUUGAUGUUACAUUAUCCAGGGAUCGUGGUACAUAUCUCUUCCGACCAUCCAUAUGGAAACUUUCCAACAAUAGCAUCUUGUAAAUUUUCAGUAAUACUUAUUGUAGCAACUUCAGAUUUGGAUCACUUUUAUGGAUGGUUCCCUAUGUAACAUAUGGUUUAAUA